GGGAUUGUGGCUCAGUGGUAGAGUGCUUGCCUAGCAUGUGUGAGGCACUGGGUUCGAAUCUCAGCACCA
Molecule: transfer RNA, 69 nt
Filed under: Urocitellus parryii (Arctic ground squirrel)
Lineage: Eukaryota; Metazoa; Chordata; Mammalia; Rodentia; Sciuridae
Also listed under: 1 other name
Description: Spermophilus parryii (Arctic ground squirrel) tRNA
Rfam family: tRNA
About the family: Transfer RNA (tRNA) molecules are approximately 80 nucleotides in length. Their secondary structure includes four short double-helical elements and three loops (D, anti-codon, and T loops). Further hydrogen bonds mediate the characteristic L-shaped molecular structure. tRNAs have two regions of fundamental functional importance: the anti-codon, which is responsible for specific mRNA codon recognition, and the 3' end, to which the tRNAs corresponding amino acid is attached (by aminoacyl-tRNA synthetases). tRNAs cope with the degeneracy of the genetic code in two manners: having more than one tRNA (with a specific anti-codon) for a particular amino acid; and 'wobble' base-pairing, i.e. permitting non-standard base-pairing at the 3rd anti-codon position.
Source: Rfam by way of RNAcentral